UAAAGUGCCUUAAAAUCCGUCUAGUAAUCGUGUUUGUUAAUAUUUUAGUGAAUGAACAUACGAUUUUUCAGUAUAAACUUAUGAAAGGACUGUUUUUCGAUUAGAUAACCAGCUCACAUCAUAACACAACUAAGUGACAAAUAAGGUGUUUAUUGUUCAGGUAUUUCAUUCAAUGAAACAAGUAGAAGAAGACGUCUCUAGCAACGAUAGGUUCCUGUAGUCGCUUUUAAACUGUUAAGGAGCAUCAUUUCCUAACCUAAAAGAUCAACACUUCUAUUUAGAGCAUUAUAUCCGACGACAAAAGUUUUGGAAAAAGACAUUCUGAGACUAAAUCUUGCAAUAUCGUUCUGAACAGUAACACGGCCAACCAAGCUCAAGUGGUGGUACCAGCCUCUUAAUCAAGAUCCAUUUAAAAUAUAAAGUUGAAGAUACACAAAAGAAUAAACACUCAAUCAGACUUAAUCAGCGGAUGUUGCACGCUGCCGAAUUGGAAAAUUGCUUUUACCUGUCAAAAAAUGUAACGUAAAAAUAUUUAACAAUGACGAAAUUGUGAGUUAGAAAUGUUGUGUAAUGUAUUUGAUAUAGUGAACAUUAGCGAGGACAAUACGUGUGAUGUUACAUCCGGUUGUUCAAUUCAGCCUUGCAUUACCAUUUUGGACCUGGAAACGAAACAAAUCAAGAAAACAAUUUCACUUGAUUCGUAUACUUCUGGAAUAUCACUUAAAGAAAAUAGAUUAAUCUAUUCUUGUAACAGUGGAAUACGAAUGGUCAAUCCGUAUGAUGAGUCUAGAAGUGACAUAGUCCGAGUAUUGAUGAUGCCCAGUGACUAUAACGUUGUAACAUUUGGGGACAAAGUAUAUCACUCAAAUGGGGGAAAAAGCACAGUUACAUGUUAUGAUCUACAAGGUAAACUGCGGUGGACAUUCAAGAACGAAAGCGUUCUGAAGACUCCGCGUGACAUUGAUGUCGAUCAUUAUGGCAUUGUGUAUGUGGUAGGGUACCGUUCUUACAACGUUGUAGUAAUCUCCCCUGAUAGUCGACGACAAAAGGAAGUAUUGACAGCAGGCGAUGGUCUUGAUGAACCAUCUCACUUCAUUAUUAUGGAUAAAAAAAUCAGUUGCUACUUGCGAACUGUCGAAACAUAGUCGCUUCGUUUGAUUUUCAUUGAUAACAUUUAUCUUUCAAUAGACAUUGUCAUUUCAUUUAAAGAAAUAGUUCAGCUCUACGUAUACUUGAUAAAUUGCAUGCACAUAUUGGUGAUUUUGAACCUGUGCAAAGUUUUGAUUUUUCAACCCUAUCUACCACUUUGCCUCAAAUAUCUCAUUAAGAAAAAAAUCACAUACCUAUUAAAAUGGACAUUUAAAGAGUCGGAGUGCGAAUAUGUAUUUUCAAACACUUUAAUGUCAUUUUUAGUAACACUAGACAAAAUAAUUAUGUCAAUUCGGCCUGCUUUGAUACGAUAACGUCACAUGGAUUUUCACUAGAUAACAGUUUUGUUCGCUAUUGAGAUUCCGUAUAUCUUCAAGUUAUCGGAAUUCCAAUGUGGACUAACUGUGCACCACUUAUUGCGGACCUUUUUCUGUAUUGUUACGAGUUACAACAAAGAUCCACCAAAACAACAUCUGAUAAAAAAAAUAUUUUUCUAACACUUUUAGAUAUUUGGAUGAUAAAUUGACUCUCAAUGAUGACGACUUCAGUAUGUACACUAAUGAGAUUUAUCCUGCUGUGACGUUUUUUUAUCUUCUUAUGGUGUUUAUAUAUCCCAACUUGUACGAAUCGCUCGUGUAUGUAACAAUGUAUUUGAUAUUAACGAAAGAAAUCUCUGUAUUACUGUAAAAUUAGUACACCAGGAUUUACGAUAUCUCAAACUUGUAAAAAACAUUUUCCAAAUUCAUCAUCGGUACAAGGACAGCAUUCGUAAAGAAAAAUCAGCGUGCAUACAUCUUACAUUGUAUACGAUCAGGUAUUUCACGUCCAACUUUAAUGGUAAUAUUCUAUCCAAAGCACAAAAAUUACUUCAUUCAUCUCAAAAGCUUACCAAUCCUUGAAACAAACUUAUUCAGAAGAUAUAUAGUUACAACACUGUUGUCAAGUCAUUGAUGGUGGCAUAUUUUGGAAUUAAUAUUGAUUCACACGUAGGCUCUUUGCGUCGGAAAUAUACACAUUUAUUCUAAAUCCAGUUAUUGACAUAUAUAUAUAUGUAUAUUUUUGAUGGUAUGAUACUAAACCCCUAACAAGAGGGAUUGUGCUUGAUAAUUAUAUGAUGAAGACAUAAUCUUUUAAUCAGUUUAAUUGAGGUUUGGAGCUGGCAUGUCAGUAACUGCUAGUAGUCCUUUGUUAAUUUAUCUUCAUCAUUGCAUUUUGCUAAGUUUUUUCUGUUAACUUAUAUAACAUCGGACUCAGAUCUCUUUUAAACUAAGUUUUAUUGUGCGUACUGCGGUUCUUUUUUCAUUAAAUUCCACAUUGGCUAGAGGUAUGGGGGUGGGUUGAGAUCUUACACAACAUGUUUAACCACGUCGCUCUUUUGCGCCAGUCCCAAGUCUGGAAGUUAUAGCCUUUGUUAAUGUUAUAUGUGGUUUUUUUUAAUUUUGGUUCAUUUAUGUUUCGUUUGAUGUUCGUUUUCAUCGAACUAGUAUACAUUUUUUUAAGGAACCAGCUGAAGCUCGCCUCCGGAUACGGGAUCUUCUUGCUGUGUUGAAGACCUAUUGAUGGCCUUCGGCUGUCUAUAGCUCUCUGGUCGAAUUGUUGUCACAUUCACCGUUUCUAUUCACAAAUUCAUAUACAAUCUUCUUACCUCUCAAAUAAAUUUUAGCCGUAUAUUCUAUAAAAUUUAAAGUUAUUGUAAAUGCAUUUAACGUGUUUAUUCCAAAAAACGGCCGAUAAAAUGUGAUAAUUUCAAAACAAAUGGCGUAAUGGAUUCAUAUUGAAAGAAAUAGACAUUGUUUAUCAUAUGCAUUAUAUAUGAUGGGUGGACACAGCGUAUUGUCUAGUCCCUUUUUUCUCCUCCCCGACUCCCGUUCUGUGUAAUGUUUUGUGUUCAAUUUUUCACCAUACAUACACCGUAUGUUCAUUAUUGGUUAUCUUGUGCCGCCUGGAAGAAUAUCAAAUAUAUGAAAUUAUUUGCUUUUGUAAAAAAUUUAAAAGUUGACAUCCGCAACAAAAUAUAGAUACAUUUAAUUUUAUCUACUUUCAAUAUGAUGCAGUUAUCAACACUGAAUGUUCAUGCUUGUCAUGGUUUAUAGCAAUUUUAUGGUUACUACGGUUUUUUAUUAAAAAAAACCUGCGUAUUUGCCUACCAUAUGGAAAACUAUAGUAGAUAGAAAUAAACCUUAUAAAGCAAAAAUUAUCAUCAGAACAAGAUCUACAAUCACAUCUAUUAUAAACAAUUUUUUUAGAUAACUUCUUAUAUGAUUUCUUGUACUACAAUUAUGAUUUUUACCCGUUUUGCAUUUUGGCAAAAACUGUUUAUAGUAAAUAAAGGAAACUGUAAACAACAAAAAUGAUCCGACAUAUAAAAUACGAAGGUAUGGUAUGAUUGUUAAUGCGAAGUGUAUCAACUAUUCGGCCUUGGACAAUAAACAAAACGUGUAAUGUGUAGCAAGCUAUUAACGCCCUUAAAACGACAAAGACAAGAUCUCAAUUUGAUAUGUUACUAAAAAUAACUUAAAUUGUCAAACAAUUCUCAGGUUAAAAUUGCAAAUCCCAAAAUAGGAAUUAUAUCAUUUGUUUCAAUCAUCGUUUUUUUUUAUGUCUGAAUGAACAUUAUAACAAAUAAACCGUAAAGUUCCCAAUCCAUGUUGAUUGUAUUGAUAGGCACAAGAUUAUGUAAAUCACUUUCACAAAUUGUACAAAUGAGAGAGCUUUGAUUCAAUGGGGCAGCAAAUUAUACAUAACACAAAGCUCGUUAAAUUAAUGAAUACUCAAGUCUUUUUUCUUUCUUUCAUUGUUUCUUUUUGACAAUGAUAAGAUUAUGUAUCGGUUGUAAAUUAAUCAAUGGGAAGGUAUACACUAUGAAAUUAAUGUUCGGGAUUGGAACCAUAGCACUAAAUUUCAUAUUUUUUACUUUUCUAUUGACUAACAAUUACUUACUAUGUGUCAAUUAACAGGUUUUUUUAUGCGUUGUGAUUCUAUUGUCCAGUUCUGUCAACGCAAAUCAAAGGGAAAUAAAAUACGUAUACCAAAUACUAUGCGGUACUUCAAGUGUAACUAAAAGAUAUCAUAAAAUAUUUAAUACUUUCAUUAAAAUAAAAUAAUAGUAAACAUUUGCUUGAAAUCCGUCUAGUAAUUGUAUGUAUCAACUGAUAGCGAAUACAGAUAUACUUGUCAUAGUUACUUUUGAUAGCAAAGUUAUUCAAUUAGAUGAAGAGUUCACAUUAGUUUACGAUUUACUAACAAUUAAGGUAGUUCUUUAAAUCAAACAAGUUAAUAGCAGAAGAAGUCUCUAGUAAAGAUAAAGUCAUGCAGUCACUUGAUAACAACGAGGAGCACCAUUUCCUAACGUAUAAGAUCAGUACUUCUAUUUAGAAUUGCCGACGUCAAUAGUUUUGGAGAAGUACAUACUGAGGCUAUUCCUUCCGAUUUUAUUCUGAUCAGUUAGAUGGCCAUGCAAGCUCAAGUUGUGGUACCAACUCAAUCAAGAUCAAUUGAAAAUAUAAAGUUGACGAUACACACGAGAAUAAACAUCCGAAUAGACUCAAUCUGCGGAUGUUGCAUGAUGACGGACGGUAAAAUUGCUAUAACCAGUGAUGAAUGUAAAGUAAGAGUUAUUGACAUUGACGGAUAUCAAUACUUUGAGAUGGAGAUGCAAAGCAAAGUAUUUGAUUUAGUGAACAUCGGCCAGGAUGAUAUAUAUGCUGUUACAACUGGUUGUGCAAGACCGCCUAGUAUUACCAUUUUGAACCUAAGAAGGGGACAAAUCAAGAAGACAAUUCUAAUGGAUUCGUUCACCUCUGGGAUAUCACUUAAAGAAAACCGAUUGAUCUAUUCUUGUUACUAUGGAAUACGAAUGAUCAAUCCGUAUGACGAGGAGUCAACGAGUGAAAUAGUUCGGGAUAACACGACACCCAGGGACUGUUACGUUGCAACAUUUAAGGACAAAGUGUAUCACUCAAAUUGGAAAAAAAACACAGUUACAUGUUAUAAUCUACAAGGUAAACCUCAAUGGACAUUCCAAAAUGAAAGCGUUCUGAUGACUCCUCGUGGUAUUGAUGUAGAUCAUGAUGGAAAUGUGUACGUAGUGGGGAACCGCUCGAACAAUGUGGUAGUUAUCUCCCCUGAUGGACAACGACAUAAAGAAGUGUUGACAGCAGGCAAUGGUCUUGAUGAACCCACCUCACUUCAUUAUAAUGGAUCAACAAAGCAGUUGCUAGUUGCGAACUACCGAAACAUAGUCGCCUUGUUUGACUUGUAAUGAGCACAUUAAUUUUCAACACUAGUAACCAUUAUGAAUUUAUAGAAAUAUUUUAGCAAAUAUAUAUUUUCUUUUUAAAUCUCACAAAUUUGAGUCGUAUAUAAAAUAUAUCAUUAAAAGCAAUGUAAAUGCAUUGAACGUGUUUAAUUCAAAAUACGGACGAUACAAUUUUAUAAUUUUAAACAUUUGUGUAAUGGAUUUCCAAGGAAUUCGUUUUUGUCACGGCUGAUUAGGCUGCCUAUAUUGUUUGACGUAAAUUUUCUAUUGAGCUACUGCAAUCAUCAAUUCACCAAUAUUCGAACAGACUGAAUUUUCGGGAAAUGACAUCUGUGACAAACAUAAACUUUUUACUACCUCUUUAACAGCAGAACCGAAUAGCGCCCAUACUACUUGUCCGAUUGGACAAGUGAAAAAUCGAUGUCAGAUGUAAAAUAUAUCAAAUUCAAGACUUACUAAUUCCCAAAAAAUUGAAUGAUUGUUUUAUUGAUCAUGCAAAAUGAAUUAAAUAUCCAUUGUCAUUUAUUGAU
Mytilus californianus (California mussel) is the source of this 5937-nucleotide long non-coding RNA. RefSeq lists it as uncharacterized. The record is from RefSeq and is a predicted model, not a curated record. The transcript is spliced from 3 exons. Lineage: Eukaryota; Metazoa; Mollusca; Bivalvia; Mytilida; Mytilidae.